UGCCAUCUACAAACGCAGUUAAAGUCAAGGUGAUGAGGAGACUGAAGUUGGGCUCAGACGUCCCCCUCUCUCCUCCUGUUCUGACUCUCUUGUCUCCGUCCGCUGAGGCUCUGAAGGAGAGUAAAGCUACACUCGUGUGUCUGGCUGAGGAUAUUUCAGUAGCUCUGGUGCACGUCACCUGGUCAGUCAACGGUCGCUCCGUCACAGAUGGAGUCUGGAGCAGUCCUACUGAGAAACAGCAGAACAAAACCUUCAAAAUGAGCAGCUAUCUGACCAUCGAGGCGUCUGACUGGACGGACAAUGCAGAUUUCUCCUGUGAGGUGUCAGUGGGGUCCAAAUUCACUAAGAAAAGUAUCUCAGCUUCACAGUGCUGAAAAAGUGUCUGAAUCUAAAUGUCAGCUGUUAUGCCUUUAUUUCUUUUCAUGUUUGUGAACGGGUGUAUCUGACAUUGACUAUGACUAUGUGCUUCAGUUUUGGGUUUUGAUUCUGCAAAAAUAAAAAUCUUUGGCAUGA
Carassius auratus (goldfish) is the source of this 513-nucleotide non-coding RNA. Lineage: Eukaryota; Metazoa; Chordata; Actinopteri; Cypriniformes; Cyprinidae. The record is from the annotation of a RefSeq genome assembly.